UACGAAGGGUGCAAGCGUUAGUCGGAAUUACUGGGCGUAAAGCGUGCGUAGGCGGUUUCCUAAGUCGGAUGUGAAAGCUCUGGGCUCAACCUGGGAAUGGCACUCGAUACUGUGAAGCUGGAGUGCGGUAGAGGAGGGUGGAAUUCCCGGUGUAGCGGUGAAAUGCGUAGAGAUCGGGAGGAACAUCAGUGGCGAAGGCGGCAUCCUGGACCGGCAUUGACGCUGAGGCGCGAAAGCUAGGGGAGCAAACGGG
RNAcentral lists this ribosomal RNA (253 nucleotides) under uncultured bacterium. RNAcentral's name for it is "partial 16S ribosomal RNA". It matches the Rfam family "Bacterial small subunit ribosomal RNA", at positions 524 to 776 of the family's 1533-position model. The record is from RNAcentral.